ACCACAUCUCGAACAAGUGCCUAAAAUCCAGCUCCUCGCCCCAGAUCUUGAAUGGCAAUGGACUGGCAGAGGUGCUGAGCACUGGCAAGUGGGGUUAGUGGGGAGGGCAUUGCACUGCCACUCAAAAGACCUGGGUUCAAUUCCUGGCACAACCGCAGACUCCGUGUGUGACCCUAGACAAGUCAAUCUUCCCUGGCCCCCUUCCUCGUCCGCACAAUGGGUGACAGCAUUCCCUGCUGUACAGGAAUGCUAGAGGACAAGCACAUUAGCAACUGGGAGGUGCCCAGAAGUCACAGUGAUGGGAGCCACAUAAAUUCCUAGAUAGAGCCACAGAUCCCACUGAAGGCAAUGGGAGCUGGGGUGGCUCAGCACAGCUGAAAACCAGGCCACUUGCACAUACAUGCUGGGUGUGGGAGCUCCCGGGCUGGCACCCAGGACUGGAAGAAUUGGCUUUUGCUUGAGCGGCACUUAUCAGAUCAAAUAAUGCUUGUUCAUGGUGUUAUAUAACAGACCAGCGCUAAGGGUGUGCAACAUCUCACACGGCAAGUCUGUGCACCGCCUGGCAGCACAAGCUUCAGUGGGCUGGCAGCAGAGAGAACCCGGGAGCGAUUCCUCCUCCAGGCCAGGCUGGCCAGAGACAGACCCCGCGCAGGCGAACAGCGUGGGGAAGAGAAGGGCCGACAGGGGCAUGUCGCGCUUUCCAAAUUAAGAACAAGUCUGGCCAGGAUCCAGUUUCCAGCUGCAUCCCACAGGAGACUCGCAGCCUGACUCACUGCACUCUAGAUGAGCGCUGUUCAAAGCCAGAAGCACGGUGCUGCUGAUCAAGCCAUAGGUUGCAUCUGAAGAAGUGGGUUUUUUACCCACAAAAGCUGCUGCCCAAAUAAAUCUGUUAGUCUUUAAGGUGC
Long non-coding RNA from Gopherus flavomarginatus (Mexican gopher tortoise), 905 nucleotides. RefSeq lists it as uncharacterized. The record is from RefSeq and is a predicted model, not a curated record. The transcript has 2 exons. NCBI's taxonomy places the organism in Eukaryota, Metazoa, Chordata, Testudines, Testudinidae.